Molecule: unclassified non-coding RNA, 616 nt
Filed under: Scedosporium apiospermum
Lineage: Eukaryota; Fungi; Ascomycota; Sordariomycetes; Microascales; Microascaceae
Description: sequence contains 18S rRNA gene, ITS1, 5.8S rRNA gene, ITS2, 28S rRNA gene
Rfam family: 5.8S ribosomal RNA (bases 210-363)
Source: RNAcentral
UAACAAGGUCUCCGUUGGUGAACCAGCGGAGGGAUCAUUACAGAGUUACUACUCCAAAACCCAUUGUGAACCUUACCUAUGUUCUGUUGCCUCGGCGGCGUGGUCAGCGCCCCCUCUGAAAAGAGGACGAUGCCCUCCCGCCGGCAGCACCAAACUCUUGAAUUUUACAGCGGAUUACAGUUCUGAUUUGAAAAGAAAAAACAAGUUAAAACUUUCAACAACGGAUCUCUUGGUUCUGGCAUCGAUGAAGAACGCAGCGAAAUGCGAUAAGUAAUGUGAAUUGCAGAAUUCAGUGAAUCAUCGAAUCUUUGAACGCACAUUGCGCCCGGCAGUAAUCUGCCGGGCAUGCCUGUCCGAGCGUCAUUUCAACCCUCGAACCUCCGUUUCCUCAGGGAAGCUCAGGGUCGGUGUUGGGGCGCUACGGCGAGUCUUCGCGACCCUCCGUAGGCCCUGAAAUACAGUGGCGGUCCCGCCGCGGUUGCCUUCUGCGUAGUAAGUCUCUUUUGCAAGCUCGCAUUGGGUCCCGGCGGAGGCCUGCCGUCAAACCACCUAUAACUCCAGAUGGUUUGACCUCGGAUCAGGUAGGGUUACCCGCUGAACUUAAGCAUAUCAAUAA